Molecule: unclassified non-coding RNA, 885 nt
Filed under: Drosophila yakuba
Lineage: Eukaryota; Metazoa; Arthropoda; Insecta; Diptera; Drosophilidae
Description: GE24663
Source: RNAcentral
AAUUUCAUUUAUUAUGUUACAAAAACAUAACUAAAACACGCAUUUUGUUUGUAUUGUUUAUUUCUAUAUAUUUUUCUUAUUUUUUCGUUGCAAAGUAAAAAUGCAGCGGCGUACAAAGAACACUGCAGAUACCAAAAGAAUUCAAUCACUCAAGGCCUUGUUCAAAAAAGUGGUUCGCAUAAUGAGCCUAAAUGAUCCCUGGAAAGAAAACGAAGAUGACCCAAGGAUUUCUUCAAACGUCAUGAGGAAUUUGCCUACGAGAGGGCGCACAAAGUCCAAAUCGGGCUUCCUAACUGCAGCGGAUAAAUCUUUGAUUCGAACACCGCACGUGAUUCGAACAAUUCCGGAAAGAAUGAAAUUAUGUAAACUGUUUGCUAAGUUGACAUGUUUGUCAGGCUUCAGUCCAAAAAUUCGAGCUCGAUUAGUUCCUGUGGUGCGUUUGAUGCCCGUCGAUGCUGGUCGCAUUAUCAUCAGGCAAUCGGAUGCGCCCAUAACCGUGUUUUUUGUGCUUACAGGGCAAGUACAUAUGAUAAAUAACGAAAAUAACCAGAAGGGAGAAGGAGUGGUCAUGGGCUUUCUUGGAGCUGGUGAUAUGAUGGGCCAUGUGGAGCUCUUAGAAGGCAUCAAACGAACUCACACGUUCAGAGCAGCAAAUCGUGGAAGCUUGUCGAUAUGGGAGGCUAAAGCAAUUCGACCCACUGGAUACCAUAUUCUGUGAGGAUAUAGGAUCCAUGACCAAUGUCCACUUUGUGCUCAGUGGAGAAUGUCUGAUACUGCAGUGUCUGAAUAUAAGGGUUUCUAUGAAAAGGGGAAAAAAGGUAUAUGAACUUUUGCCGGCGUCUGAAGGUGAUGUGUCGAAAAUGUUUAGAAAAGCCGUCAGAUCCA